CGGCAUGCCUAACACAUGCAUGUCGAACGAAGCCUUCGGGCUUAGUGGCGGACGGGUGAGUAACGCGUGGGAACCUGCCCUUGAGUGGGGAACAACCUUUGGAAACGAAGGCUAAUACCGCAUACGCUCUGAGGAGGAAAGGCUUCGGCCGCUCUUGGAUGGUCCCGCGUUAGAUUAGCUUGUUGGUGGGGUAACGGCCUACCAAGGCGACGAUCUAUAGCUGGUCUGAGAGGAUGAUCAGCCACACUGGGACUGAGACACGGCCCAGACUCC
This 273-nucleotide ribosomal RNA is filed under the name unidentified marine bacterioplankton. Its description in RNAcentral is "partial 16S ribosomal RNA". It matches the Rfam family "Bacterial small subunit ribosomal RNA", at positions 40 to 339 of the family's 1533-position model. The record is from RNAcentral.